AUGGACAAAGAGUUGAAUGACUGCAAAAACAGACCAAGCUGUGGAGAAGGGAACAGUGACAGUGUUGUACAGUCAGGAUUAGUGAAAACUGAAGGAUCAUGUGCCCAGUUUGUGCUUACUCAGCCAAAGUCUGUGUCAGAGUCUCUAGGGAGAACAGUCACCAUCUCCUGCAAAUGCAGCAGUGGCAACAUUGGGAGCUACUAUGUGCACUGGUACCAGCAGCAAUUUGGAAGCUCGCCCAAAGCUGUGAUCUAUGAAAACAAUAAAAGACCAUCUGGGGUUCCUGAUAGGUUCUCUGGCUCCAUUGACAGCUCCUCCAACUCAGCUUCACUGACCAUCACUAAUCUGCAGAUUGAAGAUGAGGCUGACUACUUCUGUCAGUCUUAUGAUAGUAACAGUCUGCACAGUGAUGAAAAUCAUGGGGAA
This is a non-coding RNA of Cricetulus griseus (Chinese hamster), 426 nucleotides long. The record is from the annotation of a RefSeq genome assembly. NCBI's taxonomy places the organism in Eukaryota, Metazoa, Chordata, Mammalia, Rodentia, Cricetidae.